This 287-nucleotide long non-coding RNA is filed under the name Brassica rapa (field mustard). RNAcentral describes it as "long non-coding RNA (BRAP_LNC001194)". Lineage: Eukaryota; Viridiplantae; Streptophyta; Magnoliopsida; Brassicales; Brassicaceae. The record is from RNAcentral.
GGAACUCAUAAUCAAUGAUGUAAUCAUAGUUACCUACCGAAGCUGCCAUUCGUACCACUAACGUCACCUUUGGUCUCACUUCCUUUAUCUAUUUAAUCAAAAUGUAACUUAUCUUAAGUGUAAGUAACACCAUCAAGUUUUUUAAUUGAAUCAUUAUAACCAUAAAUUAUUUCUACGUAAAUUUUGAAUUAUAAACAGCUAAGCAAAUGGACUAACCGGUAAACCGCUGAUGGGGCUUUCCGAGUGACGCCAACCAAUAUCUCCGGCGUAACGCUCGAAGAUACAAA